AUGGCGCCAAUCUACAGCCGCUAUAGCUACAGAUUCACUAAUGCAAUGCAAUCGCAAUGCCACAGAAUAGGUAGCAAUGCCACAGAAUGAGUAUAUUACUGUAUAAGUAUGUAUACUGUGGCAAUGCAAUGCAAUCGCAGUAAAAGUUGGUUAGAAUCUUAGAAUUAUAUUGUUGGAUCAUGUCGAGUCGCUUGACUUUUUAAAGGUUUUAUUCUUUGAACCGUAACGUCUUUAGUUGUUUGUAUUUACUUGACAUGUUCAUUUUUCUAUUGUGGGUAUUGUAUUUAGAGUAUUAAUGAUAAUCAAAGAGAAUAAUAUUAUUACUGCAUAUAAACAUACCGCUGUUUUCUGUUAUUACUACAAUACUCGUACUGUAGUAAUUUGUUGGCACCAUUUGACAACAAAAUGAAAAUAUGAUAUUUACCAGAUUCGACUAGGCCUAUUACAAUUAACUCCAUCGUUACAGACUGAAGAUAUGCACUAUGAGACAAGCGGAAGAGAAAGAAAAAGUAUUUCUUUUGAGGCGGAACCAAUUUUGAGUGUACACAGAAUAUCUACGGAAGAAGAUGGAAAAAUUGCAAAGAAGAAAUACAAGGCUGGUAAAUAGGAUUCAUAAAACACUCACACAAAGGGAAUCAGAAAUAUCGACUGAGCAGUUUAUUAAAACAUAUGGAAGAUUCGUAGCAAAAAUUUAAGUGAGAUAGUAGAAAUCGAACUGGAAUCAUAAUUCAUCAAUUCAAGGGGGAUGAGAUACCGUAUAGCAAAAAUUUUAAAAUAAUGACUCUGACUUAGUUUGUGUUUUUUCAAGCAGCAAAGCAUAUAGAUUUAUGAAAAAUGUUUUAAAAAUGGGAACAACAAGGACCCAAGUAUAAAUGAUGGAGAAAUGGGAAUAUGCCCCAGGUAUUAAUGAUACCCUGGUAUUCAUUUUUUUCUUGAAAAAAUAUUUCAAGUUUGAAAUUGAGGAUAAGUGAUAUAAACGAGGUAGAGAAUCAUUGUGUAUUAAGCUCUGAUGAAAUGACAUUGAAAUAGUCUCUUUUUUAAUGUAUUUCUGAGAAAUUGUCGGGUUUCAUUACACUGGGAGAGGAAAACAAAUGAAGCCUGCUACUUCAGUUCUAGUAUUUAUGAUAAGAAGUAUUCAUGGAGAGUAUUCAUGGAAGCAGCCAAUUAGUUAUGAUUUCGCACUCAUUACAAAAUAAUCUCCUGCAAUAUAACUUCAGGAAUUCCUAAACCUCAAAUGUACUAGCUUCUUUGUGUCAUACACAACAGUUUUAUGUAAAAAGUAAGAAACAGUAUCUUAGAUUAGCAAGGAAAUUAACAGAAGCACUCAUUAAUCCUAAUGGUUUUUAGAAAAUUAGAGUGACUUUGGCAGUGCAAGUUUCAGUCACACUGUAGCAAGUGUUUACACUCAUGUAAGUCUAGGAUCCUUGAACACUACUGCAAUGGCCACUGCCAAGUUCAUUGAAACUUGCAAAAAUGUUUUUAUUUAUUCAUGCAAAACUCCAGAAAAAGUGGCUAGCAAAUAUGAUAUAUGGAAAGGAACAAAUGGAGUUGAUUCGAAAAUUCACAACGUAAUUGAAGGUACCUAUUAAUAGGGAGGUAGAAAGUGUUACUGCCACUAUGAAGUGCUUCAAAGGCUUGCAAACAACCAUCGCAGCUUUUAUAAAAUUUUGGGAAAGUUCGAAAAACGUUUUCAUUCAUAAAGAAGCUACAAGUUGUUUCAACCAAGAUUGUACAGAAAACGUCUUUGGAUCCAUCCGACAACAAGAAGGCAACGGGACUAAUGAAAUGGACGAGUCGGUGUGGCUUCCUCCUCACUUCACCUAGAUUCGGAGUACCAGCACAUAAUCUUUGACAAGAGUGCUGUGUGCUGGUGUGUUCAGAGUACUGGAGUCUUCGUCAGAAGACGAAUAUUCGAGUUGGAAUAUCCAUCAGAUCAUUCGUUCCGGAAAGCAUAGAAGAGAUGAAGACUAGCAAUACAAGGAUUGAUUAUCAUCUUGAAGGAUUUCCAUUGAAGAAAACUGACCUGAGCUAACGUGACAUUAAUUGAAUAUCUGCUUCUAGAGCUUCUGUAAGUGCUUCAAUGUUUAGUAAUUAGUUUCAAGUUCAUGAGACCACAACUUUGUCGAUGAGGAAUUGAUAUAGAGGAUAGAUAAAUUGGAGAUAUUGAUUGAUGCUCUGAUAAAAAUUAUUGUUAAGAUGUUAAGAAAAAUUGUUAAGAUGAUGAUAUGUAACUUUGUUAAGAAAAUAGUUAUUGAUGUAGAUUGAAUAUGUAGGUACAUUAUUUUACAAAUUACUUGGACCUUCAGUCAUAGCCUACUUAAUUUUUCAAAAUCGAUUAUAUUUUUCAAAAUUCUAACCAAUUUAUGGUUCAAAUUCGUCCUCAAUCCUAGAGUUCCUGCCCUAUUGCAUCAUUACUACAUUCUCUCUUCAAUCAAACACUCUCAUUUUUAAAUAUGUUUCUAUUCUGACUGAUACAGAGACUAGAUUAAUUUUUUCAAUUGUCUUUGACAAAAUAAAGCCUUCAUCAAUAAUAGUCCUAGAAUCUGAACUUUAACCUUUUUGUUGCUCAAGACGACUCUCGUCGAUUCGGUCUCUUUCCUUUUCUGUGCAUAAUUGAAUUAUAUCCAUUUGCUCAGAUUUCACAAUUAGAAACAGAACACUUUUCACCUAUUUACUCCUACCCAUAUUAAAUGAGCCUGUUAAAAGCAAAGUGGUGUAAGUCACAUCGGCUGCAUUCUGAGAUAUUAAGGUCCAAAGUUCGACCCCUUUCAUAAAUUAAUGAAUGCAUUUAUCCAUUUUUCAAUUGAAAAAACCAAUAAUGAGGGAGUGGAUUAAAAUAUAGAGCUAUUUUGAAAGCAAUUUUAAUGAAUUUUCAUAGUUUUAUCAAGUUUAGAAAUGUUUAAAGGACUUACACCACUUUUCCAUUAAACAUAAUAUGCAAUCAGGAUAUUAAUUGUUAACUAUUAAUAUGAAAAUCAUGAUGAAGUAUGUAUUUAAUUAAUAAGAUUCAAGAAAAAUUAUAAGAUAUUAUUGUUAUCAUGAUUAUUUAUGUAAUUUUCACUUCAAUCGGAAUCUGAAAGCUGUUCGUCAAUGGCUUCAGGUAGAGGUCCCAUGUCUUCUCCGGUCUCAGAUGUUUGGAGGUUUAGAAAUAAUUCUUGACUGAUUGGGGGUUGUACGGCAAAAGAUCCAUCAUGUCCUUUUUCUUAGCUUCAGUCACAGGACGCACUCCACUGUACAGUUUAUCCAUUGAUAUUGAGGGAAGAGAUACUCGCCGUCCACGUUGUUUGGUUGGUGUGAUGUCAAUUUGUGAAAAAGGCAUGUCUUCUGAGAGAGUCUCCUUGAAGAAAACUGUGAAAGGCUCACUCUUCCUAUACUGCAACCACUGUAUCUUGAGCCAGUUCACGGGAAAUCCAUCUGUUGAACACUUCCUUCUUGUCACUCUACUCUCCAAGCUUUUUGUUGACAAAAAGUCAUCACCAGUCAUUACACUUAGAUGAAAUGGAUUUUUUUUCUGGCCUGGACAAUGAUUUCAUACCAAUCUCUGGGGCAGAAAAUUUGUCUUGUUUUACUGUGAUUCUCAAUACUGGCAAAAUCACAGUCACUAGGCAGGAACGAGUGUCCACUUUGCAUGAACUUUUGAUCAAUCACUUCAACCUCUCCACUACUUGCACUCUGAAUAAAUCUCAUCAAUGUCAGUGCCAUUUGAAUUUUCUGUUCUGACCUGUACAGCUGUCACUGUACAUAACAACCUGCUUGGCUGAAGAUGCUCUAGUUUGUAUGUGUUUUACAACACAAGCAGCAAUUUCCUGAGAACCACGAGAUCCAACAGUCUCAUCCCAGCAAUACAUAAAACCAAGCUUUGUUGAAAGCUCAUGACAACCAAGGUUGUACAAAUAGCAGUUCCGCUUGUAGUAAGCAACUUGACAUGUAAGUUUAGGAAAUGCUAGGGACUUUUCAGGAUCAAAAGUAAAAGAAUAGAAAGAAUUGUCUAAUUUUGAUCUCUCAGUGUCAGCCAACAUGUUUUUCCUAGCACUCUCUGCUUUCCUCAAAUAAAGUUCAUGUUGCAUGUCAAGUGCUCUUUUCUGUUCCUCAUCAACUAUGAAGUCAACCUUGUUUUUAUAGAUAUCACACUCUGUACAAGUGUCCUUAUGUGGUGCAUGAAAUGGAGAAUGAACUCGGUAUUGAAUGUUCGCCGAUAGAUUGGCUCCUUGACUGGGUUCAAUUUUUUUUCAAUACAAUAACUUUUGUAUAGGUUGUACAUCAAACGAAUAUUCAAAUUUUCUGACAGAAAUUUCCUAUUUGGGUUAUAUGCACUUGUGUAAUGCGAUUCAUAUAACUCGUCCAUAUAACUCAUCUUAACUUCAAACUUGAAAAUAUGAAAUCAUUAAUACCUGGGGCUUUUUCCCAUUUCUCCGUCAAUUAUCCUUAUGUCCUUCAAAUCUUGAUUUAUGAAUUUCAUUUAUUUAUUUAGCGUAUGGCAGCAUAUAUACGCAACAUGAAUCGUUUAUGAAUUAUUUAUGAAAAUCAAUAAAUAAAAUAGUCGUAUUCUUAUGAAGAGCUUCAAAAGAUACACCUUUGGAAAGUUUACACAAUGAUGAGUGUAAGGAAUUUCUUUCAAAAGAUAUGGUAGUUUCAUCCCUACAUUUUUAUAAAGGGCAUGGAUUGAAAUAUUUGAAAUGAAUCUUCUCUCUAGAUCACCUAUAAAUUCAAUGAAUUCGGAGUCCGAACUCUUCAAAUUCCCAUAAAAUCCACUCUUGCUAUCGUCUUUGCUUUGAAAUGUGCGUAUAUAGAUGUCAAAUUGAAAGAAUCUGCUCCUCCUGUAGAAUAUUUGUUACAUAUUUCACAUUCUUGAAUAACAAAAAUUUUUCCAGCAAAUAUCCACAAACAUUUUGCAGCGCAUUUUGUUUUGGCAAAUCUAAUGACCGGUAACCUGAGAAGUUGGAGUCAAAUUUCUCCAAACAAUGAUUUCUCUGUAACUUUUUCAGGUGUAUUGAACAAAUAUCUUCGUUUUGGGACAUUUUUGUCAGAAGGAUGUCAAUGUCAUUUGCACAAUUUUUGAUUCAUUGUGUUGAGAAUACUACAAAAAUGCUACUUUUUCAAAUGAUCUAAUAAAAUGAAUUGAAGUUGGA
Molecule: long non-coding RNA, 5129 nt
Filed under: Nilaparvata lugens (brown planthopper)
Lineage: Eukaryota; Metazoa; Arthropoda; Insecta; Hemiptera; Delphacidae
Description: uncharacterized LOC120349853, transcript variant X4
Source: RNAcentral